AUAAUAGUGCUAACGGAUAAGUAAUAUCCUUUUUCCUUACAGAAAGUCUGUGGUCGCUGUGAACAGAUAGGAAAUCUGAUAUGAAAUUCUACCGUGUUGCAAACAGAAUAAGGAUUAAGUGCACAGAUUGUGAAGCUGGAUGGGACCGCGCCAAAGCGCUCCAGCA
This 166-nucleotide unclassified non-coding RNA is filed under the name Streptococcus canis. Its description in RNAcentral is "T-box". The record is from RNAcentral. Lineage: Bacteria; Bacillati; Bacillota; Bacilli; Lactobacillales; Streptococcaceae.